Molecule: long non-coding RNA, 1342 nt
Filed under: Homo sapiens (human)
Lineage: Eukaryota; Metazoa; Chordata; Mammalia; Primates; Hominidae
Description: HSALNT0355667
Source: RNAcentral
GUGAAAUCCAACCGGGUGCGCGACCACGAGGAAGGAUGGCGAGGGAGGAAACCGCGCUUUGUUGUUGAGGUGAGCCGGGUGCGCGACCACGAGGAAGGAUGGCGAGGGAGGAAACCGCGCUUUGUUGGUGAGGUGAACCGCGUGCACGAUCCCGAGGAAGUAUUGCCAGGGAGGAAACCGCGCUUUGUUCUUGAGGUGAGCCGGGUGCGCGACCAUGAGGAAGGAUGGCGAGGGAGGAAACCGCGCUUUGUUGGUGAGGUGUUCACGGAUAAUGAAGCUGAUGUGAGAGCCCUGGAGAGAAACAUCAGUCAAAGGCAUGCAGGUUGUGAAUACAAACCUCACUUGUUUCCAGACAGAUUCUUCAUCAUAAUGAUUAGGACAAUGACAGUACAAACAUUCUCAUCCUACAAAAAUAAGUAAUCACAACCACACCUUAUCCAAUAUCUGUACAGCAAUUGUGCCAUACACAUUAAAUUCAGAUUUUUAUAAUGUAAUUUAAUCUGUAUUUCAAGCCACAAUCUUGCUGAAGUUCAUAAUGUUUUGUUCCAACCAUUCUUGUAAUCCCCUCUGGUGACAUGCCAUGGUGCCAGCAUCUUAGUUGUUCCCAUGGCACUAGUAGGUGGAGGCAUCGAGACUGCUGUGUCCUCUCUUCUUGCAGGGAAUCCCAUCCAGCGUCCCUCUACUCUCCUCUGCAGCUUCCAUGGUUGGAAUGCUGAGCCAUUGCUAGGACGAUGAGGCUACAGGAAAGUGAAAUGCACCUGCUGCGAUCUGAUCCAACUGACCACUCCUGCUGCUCCUCCCUUGCACCUCAGGCAUCUCCUUCCAAUCUGGAGGAAACACUUUUACCUCCACUUUUCUUUUACAGUCCUCCAAACUCUGUUCCUUCUAGGGAGCACAAGUACAGAAAUAGAAACCUGGACUCCCAUCAUCCUGCUUCACAAACUUACAAUGUUAAAGAAAGAAAAAAAAAAAGACCAAGUACAUUACCUGGUAGAAUUGGAGAGAUGGGCACGAAAGAGCUGUAAAUACAGUUAGAAAACACACUAGCAUUUACAAAUGUGUAUGAGAAACAAUGAGGAGGAUUUUCAGAGACUAUCAUAACCAUUUAUUUUUCUAAUAUGUGAUAAGUAAACGCACAGAAAAUCAAUUUAAUAUUUGGGGCUUUUAUUUCUCAUUUUUUAGAUUGCCAGAAAGACUGUCCAGUGUUAUAAAGUUUGUGUCAAUAUUCUGGAAUUGGCAAUUUUGUCAUUUAUAUGGGAGAAAUAGCUAAAGGUGUAGUAUAAAGUAUUUGCUCGUAGGUAAUGGAAUGUUACCUUUACCCAAAGAUAUAAAAAAUAAACGG